AUGCUUACCUGGAAUGGGCAGAUACCAUAAUCAUAAAAGUGAUUUUCCCAGGGCAAGGCUUAUCCAUUGCACUCUGGAUUUACUGAUCUGUGCAAUUUACUCAAAUAUGGGAACUUGAUUGCAUAAUUUGUGGUAGUGAGGGAAUGUGUUCACACUCUUCCCCA
Sorex araneus (European shrew) is the source of this 164-nucleotide small nuclear RNA. Its record names the gene U1. It matches the Rfam family "U1 spliceosomal RNA". From Rfam's summary of the family: U1 is a small nuclear RNA (snRNA) component of the spliceosome (involved in pre-mRNA splicing). The record is from Ensembl. Lineage: Eukaryota; Metazoa; Chordata; Mammalia; Eulipotyphla; Soricidae.